RNAcentral lists this ribosomal RNA (248 nucleotides) under uncultured Brevundimonas sp. RNAcentral's name for it is "partial 16S ribosomal RNA". It matches the Rfam family "Bacterial small subunit ribosomal RNA", at positions 530 to 777 of the family's 1533-position model. The record is from RNAcentral. Lineage: Bacteria; Pseudomonadati; Pseudomonadota; Alphaproteobacteria; Caulobacterales; Caulobacteraceae.
GGGGGCUAGCGUUGCUCGGAAUUACUGGGCGUAAAGGGCGCGUAGGCGGAUCGUUAAGUCAGAGGUGAAAUCCCAGGGCUCAACCCUGGAACUGCCUUUGAUACUGGCGAUCUUGAGUAUGAGAGAGGUAUGUGGAACUCCGAGUGUAGAGGUGAAAUUCGUAGAUAUUCGGAAGAACACCAGUGGCGAAGGCGACAUACUGGCUCAUUACUGACGCUGAGGCGCGAAAGCGUGGGGAGCAAACAGGA